Molecule: non-coding RNA, 165 nt
Filed under: uncultured Mediterraneibacter sp.
Lineage: Bacteria; Bacillati; Bacillota; Clostridia; Lachnospirales; Lachnospiraceae
Description: Lysine riboswitch
Rfam family: Lysine riboswitch aptamer
About the family: Riboswitches are metabolite binding domains within certain messenger RNAs that serve as precision sensors for their corresponding targets. Allosteric rearrangement of mRNA structure is mediated by ligand binding, and this results in modulation of gene expression.
Source: RNAcentral
AGAUAGAGGUUGCAUUUUUCAUGAGUAUGGUGGCGGAUGUGUCAGGAACAGAAGAAAUCAUCAGAAAGGGAAAGAUGCCGAAAGGGAAAAGACUCCUGAAUCCUUUUCCUUGGGCAUGACGUGAAUAACGGCAUGACUGUCAUCGCAGGAUGGAGAGCUAUCUGA